UACCAGCACCCCGAGUGGUCGGGACGAUUAUUGGGCCUAAAGCCUCCGUAGCCGGUUCUACAAGUCUUCCGUUAAAUCCACCUGCUUAACAGAUGGGCUGCGGAGGAUACUAUGGAGCUAGGAGGCGGGAGAGGCAAGCGGUACUUAGUGGGUAGGGGUAAAAUCCGUUGAUCCAUUGAAGACCACCAGUGGCGAAGGCGGCUUGCCAGAACGCACUCGACGGUGAGGGAUGAAAGCUGGGGGAGCAAACCGG
This 253-nucleotide ribosomal RNA is filed under the name uncultured bacterium. Its description in RNAcentral is "partial 16S ribosomal RNA". It matches the Rfam family "Archaeal small subunit ribosomal RNA", at positions 474 to 727 of the family's 1478-position model. The record is from RNAcentral.